This is a small nucleolar RNA of Elgaria multicarinata webbii, 92 nucleotides long. RefSeq annotates it as small nucleolar SNORD12/SNORD106. Lineage: Eukaryota; Metazoa; Chordata; Lepidosauria; Squamata; Anguidae. The record is from RefSeq and is a predicted model, not a curated record. The transcript has a single exon.
UCAGUGGUACAUGAUGACUUCAUCUUUUUUCCCCAUCUUAUCGGAAAUGCUGAUCAAAUCUGUGUUCUAGCCAGAUGGUCUGAUUCCACUGA